UACGUAGGGUGCGAGCGUUAAUCGGAAUUACUGGGCGUAAAGGGUGCGCAGGCGGUUUUAUAAGACAGAUGUGAAAUCCCCGGGCUCAACCUGGGAACUGCGUUUGGGACUGUAUGACUAGAGUACGGUAGAGAGGGGUGGAAUUCCUGGUGUAGCAGUGAAAUGCGUAGAUAUCAGGAGGAACAUCGAUGGCGAAGGCAGCCCCUUGGACCUGUACUGACGCUCAUGCACGAAAGCGUGGGGAGCAAACAGG
This 253-nucleotide ribosomal RNA is filed under the name uncultured bacterium. RNAcentral's name for it is "partial 16S ribosomal RNA". It matches the Rfam family "Bacterial small subunit ribosomal RNA", at positions 524 to 776 of the family's 1533-position model. The record is from RNAcentral.